Molecule: unclassified non-coding RNA, 450 nt
Filed under: Hevea brasiliensis (rubber tree)
Lineage: Eukaryota; Viridiplantae; Streptophyta; Magnoliopsida; Malpighiales; Euphorbiaceae
Source: RNAcentral
AUAGGAGUUAAGCACAAAAUUGUCAAAGAAGCAGAUCGAUGAUUUCCGCUGUAAAUUACAAAGAUAAACAUCUUGUUAUUGAUUCCUCUUAAUAUUCCAACACAUCUGGAUCUGGAGGAUAACCUAUUUUCCUUUUACCCAUUCUGUCAAAUUUUCCUUUACUUCUUCUCCAUUAUUCUUCACUAUAUAGAGAGAAUCUGGAGCUCAACUUUCCAAAACCUGGCGGAAGUUAUAUGGAGCUCAACUUUGCUGAGAUUUAUAAUAAAGUUUUUGAAGGUGAUCCAGCUACAUUUCCUAAGGCGAUUCACUGGUUUGAGGCUUGGAAAGAUUGUGAAUUUGGUGAUUUGUGGUUGAAGGAAUUGGAAGGCAAAGGAGAAGGUGAUUUAAACCAACAUUGUUUAAAUCUGGAUCUCAACUUUGUUGGAUUUAGAAGGAGAAGUAAUAUUGGAA